GGACGCGAUGCGCGUGCGGCGCUUGAGCACAUGGAGCAGCGCGAGGACGAGAUUUAGCAGAGCGGCUAACGCUGAAUGCUCUUGGAUGAAGAAAUAACAUUUUACGCGCCAGAAAGUGGACAAAGUGGGGCGUUUUUGGAAACAGCUGGACGAAACGGGAGUUUUUUUUUCGUCAGAGCGACUAAUACGAAGAGGAAACCACAUCCAGGCUUUUAGCUGAGCAUGUUUAUCUCCUCCUCCGAGCUCCUCCUGCCUGCCACAGGAUGUGAAACCUUCAGUUAAGCAAUGAAGAAGAGAGGCCCUUGACAUGCUGACUGGAGCUCAAGAACUCUGUCUUCUGUACUGUAGUGAAAGAGCCCUGAUGCUACCUGUACCUCACAUGCCAUAAGCAUCAUACCAUGAAGUUGCCAGUCACUUUGAUAAGAACCCAGCCUGUGGUCAGUCUGACUCACAGAGAGCAUGAAAAGUCUUUGGCUGGACAGUAUCAAAAGCCAAAGUACGUAACAGGAGUCCUCAACCUGGAAGCAGUUCCUGGCAUGCAGAGCGGUAUGACCUCACCUGAGAUGACCGAAGGACCUGGAGUAAACUGGACAUUCUCCAAAUUCCACAGAACGGGAGGCAGCUGGCAUCCAGGAACAGCGACUGGUGGAAGAGAAUUUAUCCAAACAUAACCACAUGCCCCCAGCAGGCUGAUUUGGCGCAGAUGUUCUGACGUGUUAAUCCACUGUCACUGAGUGGUCCUGCAACUGAUAUUCUAUGGCAUAGACUCCGCACCCUUGCCCAGAGGUGGUGGUCUCAAGGAACCCGCAGCUCACUGAUGCGUCGGCAUGGGUAGACUCCAUCCUUCUGGAUUGCCUGCCAUUGCAUCACUUACCUAGCUGAGUGUGCGUAAAGGGAGCAAGUGGAAUCUAGGAAAUCCCCUUCUGCCACGUGGGGACUGAACGCCUGCUCUGGCUCGUGAAUAAAUUCCUGUUGUGAUGUCCCAGACUGUAGCAUGUCCCCUGAAACCUUACAGAACAUAUUUCCACCGAACGUCAUCAUAAAUCAACAAGAAAUCACAGAAGGCCCUGAAGAUUCUUCACAUUUUUAUAAAUGUUGGCUGGUAAAGAAAGAACGUCAUCUUUUGGACAACACAGUGAUUUCUCCAGAAUGGUCAGCUGAUCAACAGGCAGCAAACUACGCACGCUACAUUCCAUCUGGCUGAGAGAGAAAGUUGGCCUGCCCUCAGCCCAGCUGAGAGUGAGAAUGCACUGGGAGGCUUUCCCAACUCUGUUUUUCCCCUUUCCCUUGGAUUCUUUGCCCAUUUGGAGUGGAAAGAUGGCUGCGGUAAGAGUAGAGGGGGAUGAGAGUAAAGUGGCUCAUGUGUUGACUCAAAGAUAGGGAAUCAGAAAAAGUGUCCAUGAUGAGCAGUCCAGACGCUGCAUUAGUAACAAGGAUGUGGGUUUGGAACCAGCCUUUUGUGGCCCAAAUAUGGCAGUACCAAACGAUGAGGAAGCAUACUGUUUUAUUGAAAGCAGGCUUUUGUGAGAGCGUCAACAUACAAAAUUGUAACUAAUUUUACAUGCAUGCCCCAUUGAUGAUGCAUAGACAUUCAAUGCAAAAAACUUGGAACAUGGAAACACCCCAUUUUUGCCUGAUAUGGGAAACCCAAAGUAAAGGCAGCACUGUUCCCACAUACUUUGGGCUACAGCCAUGAUCUUGGUCUCUUUUGAAAGGUAACACUAAGGUUUUUCCCCAACCAUCAGAAUAAUUGAAAGAAUUAUUGACACAGAGUAACAGAGGCUAGAAUGGAGUUUAUUUCCACCUGACUCAUAGAUCUUUAAACUGAUCUCUGAAAUGUUGUCAAGACCACAUUUUGGAUUAUGAUGUGUCGGUGGAUAGAGGCAAGGCUUUGAAUAUAAAGACUCACAGAUUUGCAAGCGUUUGCUCAUUCUGUGCGUAUGUUGCAAAUGAGACAAUCAUUACUGCUGUGAAUAAUGAAUCAUAGAAUGGUUUGUGGAAAUUGAAUCUGAUUUGCUGGAUGAUUUUACUGUAUAAAAAUGAUGUAGUAAAAACUGGAAGUGAACACUUCAAUGGAAACGUGCCAGUACUGGUACAGUGAUCUAGAAGAGGUUAAAGGAGAAUUCCAAAAUUCUUCUCAAUAUACAGUUGAUGGAUUUUUUAUAUAAAAUGUUCUUAGAACACAAAAUAUUGUGUCUGCUUGGUAGAAUUCCACAAAUGCACACUCUCCACCAGUUGUGCUAUUAUUUCCUUAUUAGUAUGAGACCUAAUGAACAGAAUGCAUGUAAUCUUAUAGUGUUGCCUAGGGCUAUUUUACUACAUCAUUUGUUUUUAACAUUGUGGGUAGGAAUGUGUUUCUAUUCGCCAGUACUUUAUUCACUCUCAGGUGGAGGAGCUCAGCUAAUGUAGUACAACCAGAAGACUAAUUAUCAAGCUGGUAUCUAAAUAACACGUUCUGCUCAUAUUUUCAUUAAAUGUUAUAAUGUAUAUUUAUAAUUUACAUAAAAACCCAAGAGGGUGAUGUUAAACUGUUUAUAUGCUUAUAUAAACAGCUCAAAUAAUUGUGAUCAGGUGACCAUUUCUGAACCCUUAAACAGGAUGCAGUUUAAGCCCUGCGUAAGCUUGUGGGAGGACAUUUUCUGCAACAUAUCUUACUAAAGACACAAAGAUUAUUUUUCAAAGCCAUGAAAACUGUAAAA
Colossoma macropomum (tambaqui) is the source of this 2699-nucleotide long non-coding RNA. RefSeq lists it as uncharacterized. NCBI's taxonomy places the organism in Eukaryota, Metazoa, Chordata, Actinopteri, Characiformes, Serrasalmidae. The transcript is spliced from 8 exons. The record is from RefSeq and is a predicted model, not a curated record.